RNAcentral lists this ribosomal RNA (265 nucleotides) under uncultured bacterium. RNAcentral describes it as "partial 16S ribosomal RNA". It matches the Rfam family "Bacterial small subunit ribosomal RNA", at positions 793 to 1055 of the family's 1533-position model. The record is from RNAcentral.
GUCCACGCCGUAAACGAUGGGUACUAGGCGUCGGGGGGAGCGACCCCCUCGGUGCCGUCGCUAACGCAGUAAGUACCCCGCCUGGGGAGUACGGCCGCAAGGCUGAAACUCAAAGGAAUUGACGGGGGCCCGCACAAGCGGUGGAGCAUGUGGUUUAAUUCGAAGCAACGCGAAGAACCUUACCUGGGCUUGACAUGCACGAGAAAGCCGGUGGAAACAUCGGCCCCUCUUCGGAGUUCGUGCACAGGUGCUGCAUGGCUGUCGU